RNAcentral lists this ribosomal RNA (2615 nucleotides) under Escherichia coli. Its description in RNAcentral is "partial 23S ribosomal RNA". It matches the Rfam family "Bacterial large subunit ribosomal RNA". Lineage: Bacteria; Pseudomonadati; Pseudomonadota; Gammaproteobacteria; Enterobacterales; Enterobacteriaceae. The record is from RNAcentral.
GUUAAGCGACUAAGCGUACACGGUGGAUGCCCUGGCAGUCAGAGGCGAUGAAGGACGUGCUAAUCUGCGAUAAGCGUCGGUAAGGUGAUAUGAACCGUUAUAACCGGCGAUUUCCGAAUGGGGAAACCCAGUGUGAUUCGUCACACUAUCAUUAACUGAAUCCAUAGGUUAAUGAGGCGAACCGGGGGAACUGAAACAUCUAAGUACCCCGAGGAAAAGAAAUCAACCGAGAUUCCCCCAGUAGCGGCGAGCGAACGGGGAGCAGCCCAGAGCCUGAAUCAGUGUGUGUGUUAGUGGAAGCGUCUGGAAAGGCGCGCGAUACAGGGUGACAGCCCCGUACACAAAAAUGCACAUGCUGUGAGCUCGAUGAGUAGGGCGGGACACGUGGUAUCCUGUCUGAAUAUGGGGGGACCAUCCUCCAAGGCUAAAUACUCCUGACUGACCGAUAGUGAACCAGUACCGUGAGGGAAAGGCGAAAAGAACCCCGGCGAGGGGAGUGAAAAAGAACCUGAAACCGUGUACGUACAAGCAGUGGGAGCACAGAGCAAUCUGUGUGACUGCGUACCUUUUGUAUAAUGGGUCAGCGACUUAUAUUCUGUAGCAAGGUUAACCGAAUAGGGGAGCCGAAGGGAAACCGAGUCUUAACUGGGCGUUAAGUUGCAGGGUAUAGACCCGAAACCCGGUGAUCUAGCCAUGGGCAGGUUGAAGGUUGGGUAACACUAACUGGAGGACCGAACCGACUAAUGUUGAAAAAUUAGCGGAUGACUUGUGGCUGGGGGUGAAAGGCCAAUCAAACCGGGAGAUAGCUGGUUCUCCCCGAAAGCUAUUUAGGUAGCGCCUCGUGAAUUCAUCUCCGGGGGUAGAGCACUGUUUCGGCAAGGGGGUCAUCCCGACUUACCAACCCGAUGCAAACUGCGAAUACCGGAGAAUGUUAUCACGGGAGACACACGGCGGGUGCUAACGUCCGUCGUGAAGAGGGAAACAACCCAGACCGCCAGCUAAGGUCCCAAAGUCAUGGUUAAGUGGGAAACGAUGUGGGAAGGCCCAGACAGCCAGGAUGUUGGCUUAGAAGCAGCCAUCAUUUAAAGAAAGCGUAAUAGCUCACUGGUCGAGUCGGCCUGCGCGGAAGAUGUAACGGGGCUAAACCAUGCACCGAAGCUGCGGCAGCGACGCUGAUGCGUUGUUGGGUAGGGGAGCGUUCUGUAAGCCUGUGAAGGUGUGCUGUGAGGCAUGCUGGAGGUAUCAGAAGUGCGAAUGCUGACAUAAGUAACGAUAAAGCGGGUGAAAAGCCCGCUCGCCGGAAGACCAAGGGUUCCUGUCCAACGUUAAUCGGGGCAGGGUGAGUCGACCCCUAAGGCGAGGCCGAAAGGCGUAGUCGAUGGGAAACAGGUUAAUAUUCCUGUACUUGGUGUUACUGCGAAGGGGGGACGGAGAAGGCUAUGUUGGCCGGGCGACGGUUGUCCCGGUUUAAGCGUGUAGGCUGGUUUUCCAGGCAAAUCCGGAAAAUCAAGGCUGAGGCGUGAUGACGAGGCACUACGGUGCUGAAGCAACAAAUGCCCUGCUUCCAGGAAAAGCCUCUAAGCAUCAGGUAACAUCAAAUCGUACCCCAAACCGACACAGGUGGUCAGGUAGAGAAUACCAAGGCGCUUGAGAGAACUCGGGUGAAGGAACUAGGCAAAAUGGUGCCGUAACUUCGGGAGAAGGCACGCUGAUAUGUAGGUGAAGUCCCUCGCGGAUGGAGCUGAAAUCAGUCGAAGAUACCAGCUGGCUGCAACUGUUUAUUAAAAACACAGCACUGUGCAAACACGAAAGUGGACGUAUACGGUGUGACGCCUGCCCGGUGCCGGAAGGUUAAUUGAUGGGGUCAGCGCAAGCGAAGCUCUUGAUCGAAGCCCCGGUAAACGGCGGCCGUAACUAUAACGGUCCUAAGGUAGCGAAAUUCCUUGUCGGGUAAGUUCCGACCUGCACGAAUGGCGUAAUGAUGGCCAGGCUGUCUCCACCCGAGACUCAGUGAAAUUGAACUCGCUGUGAAGAUGCAGUGUACCCGCGGCAAGACGGAAAGACCCCGUGAACCUUUACUAUAGCUUGACACUGAACAUUGAGCCUUGAUGUGUAGGAUAGGUGGGAGGCUUUGAAGUGUGGACGCCAGUCUGCAUGGAGCCGGCCUUGAAAUACCACCCUUUAAUGUUUGAUGUUCUAACGUUGACCCGUUAUCCGGGUUGCGGACAGUGUCUGGUGGGUAGUUUGACUGGGGCGGUCUCCUCCUAAAGAGUAACGGAGGAGCACGAAGGUUGGCUAAUCCUGGUCGGACAUCAGGAGGUUAGUGCAAUGGCAUAAGCCAGCUUGACUGCGAGCGUGACGGCGCGAGCAGGUGCGAAAGCAGGUCAUAGUGAUCCGGUGGUUCUGAAUGGAAGGGCCAUCGCUCAACGGAUAAAAGGUACUCCGGGGAUAACAGGCUGAUACCGCCCAAGAGUUCAUAUCGACGGCGGUGUUUGGCACCUCGAUGUCGGCUCAUCACAUCCUGGGGCUGAAGUAGGUCCCAAGGGUAUGGCUGUUCGCCAUUUAAAGUGGUACGCGAGCUGGGUUUAGAACGUCGUGAGACAGUUCGGUCCCUA